AUUGAACGCUGGCGGCAUGCCUUACACAUGCAAGUCGAACGGUAACAGGUCUUCGGAUGCUGACGAGUGGCGAACGGGUGAGUAAUACAUCGGAACGUGCCCGAUCGUGGGGGAUAACGAAGCGAAAGCUUUGCUAAUACCGCAUACGAUCUACGGAUGACAGCAGGGGACCGCAAGGCCUUGCGCGAACGGAGCGGCCGAUGGCAGAUUAGGUAGUUGGUGGGAUAAAAGCUUACCAAGCCGACGAUCUGUAGUUGGUCUGAGAGGACGACCAGCCACACUGGGACUGAGACACGGCCCAGACUCCUACGGGAGGCAGCAGUGGGGAAUUUUGGACAAUGGGCGAAAGCCUGAUCCAGCCAUGCCGCGUGCAGGAUGAAGGCCUUCGGGUUGUAAACUGCUUUUGUACGGAACGAAAAGACUCUGGUUAAUACCUGGGGUCCAUGACGGUACCGUAAGAAUAAGCACCGGCUAACUACGUG
Molecule: ribosomal RNA, 482 nt
Filed under: uncultured bacterium
Lineage: Bacteria
Description: partial 16S ribosomal RNA
Rfam family: Bacterial small subunit ribosomal RNA
Source: RNAcentral